GUUGACUGCCGGUGACAAACCGGAGGAAGGUGGGGAUGACGUCAAAUCAUCAUGCCCCUUAUGAUUUGGGCUACACACGUGCUACAAUGGACAAUACAAAGGGUAGCGAAACCGCGAGGUCAAGCAAAUCCCAUAAAGUUGUUCUCAGUUCGGAUUGUAGUCUGCAACUCGACUAUAUGAAGCUGGAAUCGCUAGUAAUCGUAGAUCAGCAUGCUACGGUGAAUACGUUCCCGGGUCUUGUACACACCGCCCGUCACACCACGAGAGUUUGUAACACCCGAAGCCGGUGGAGUAACCAUUUGGAGCUAGCCGUCGAAGGUGGGACAAAUGAUUGGGGUGAAGUCGUAACAAGGUAGCCGUAUCGGAAGGUGCGGCUGGAUCACCUCCUUUCUAAGGA
This 397-nucleotide ribosomal RNA is filed under the name Staphylococcus epidermidis. RNAcentral describes it as "bacterial SSU rRNA". It matches the Rfam family "Bacterial small subunit ribosomal RNA", at positions 1144 to 1533 of the family's 1533-position model. Lineage: Bacteria; Bacillati; Bacillota; Bacilli; Caryophanales; Staphylococcaceae. The record is from RNAcentral.